RNAcentral lists this ribosomal RNA (710 nucleotides) under Pseudoxanthomonas sp. RNAcentral's name for it is "bacterial SSU rRNA". It matches the Rfam family "Bacterial small subunit ribosomal RNA", at positions 56 to 756 of the family's 1533-position model. The record is from RNAcentral. Lineage: Bacteria; Pseudomonadati; Pseudomonadota; Gammaproteobacteria; Lysobacterales; Lysobacteraceae.
UGCAGUCGAACGGCAGCACAGGAGAGCUUGCUCUCUGGGUGGCGAGUGGCGGACGGGUGAGGAAUACAUCGGAAUCUACUCUGUCGUGGGGGAUAACGUAGGGAAACUUACGCUAAUACCGCAUACGACCUACGGGUGAAAGUGGGGGACCGCAAGGCCUCACGCGAUUGAAUGAGCCGAUGUCGGAUUAGCUAGUUGGCGGGGUAAAGGCCCACCAAGGCGACGAUCCGUAGCUGGUCUGAGAGGAUGAUCAGCCACACUGGAACUGAGACACGGUCCAGACUCCUACGGGAGGCAGCAGUGGGGAAUAUUGGACAAUGGGCGCAAGCCUGAUCCAGCCAUACCGCGUGGGUGAAGAAGGCCUUCGGGUUGUAAAGCCCUUUUGUUGGGAAAGAAAUCCUGUUGAUUAAUACUCGACAGGGAUGACGGUACCCAAAGAAUAAGCACCGGCUAACUUCGUGCCAGCAGCCGCGGUAAUACGAAGGGUGCAAGCGUUACUCGGAAUUACUGGGCGUAAAGCGUGCGUAGGUGGUGGUUUAAGUCUGUUGUGAAAGCCCUGGGCUCAACCUGGGAAUUGCAGUGGAUACUGGAUCACUAGAGUGUGGUAGAGGGAUGCGGAAUUUCCGGUGUAGCAGUGAAAUGCGUAGAGAUCGGAAGGAACAUCUGUGGCGAAGGCGGCAUCCUGGGCCAACACUGACACUGAGGCACGA